UGGGGAAUAUUGCACAAUGGGGGGAAACCCGUGAUGCAGCGACGCCGCGUGAGCGAAGAAGUAUUUCGGUAUGUAAAGCUCUAUCAGCAGGGAAGAUAAUGACGGUACCUGACUAAGAAGCCCCGGCUAACUACGUGCC
This 139-nucleotide ribosomal RNA is filed under the name uncultured bacterium. RNAcentral describes it as "partial 16S ribosomal RNA". It matches the Rfam family "Bacterial small subunit ribosomal RNA", at positions 355 to 509 of the family's 1533-position model. The record is from RNAcentral.